GCGAGUGAGCGGCAAAAGCUCAAAUUUGAAAUCUGGCGUAUUCUGCGUCCGAGUUGUAAUUUGAAGAAGGAUACUUUGGGGUUGGCUCUUGUCUAUGUUUCUUGGAACAGAACGUCACAGAGGGUGAGAAUCCCGUGCGAUGAGAAGCCCAAUUCCGUGUAAAGUGCCUUCGAAGAGUCGAGUUGUUUGGGAAUGCAGCUCUAAGUGGGUGGUAAAUUCCAUCUAAAGCUAAAUAUUGGCGAGAGACCGAUAGCGAACAAGUACAGUGAUGGAAAGAUGAAAAGAACUUUGAAAAGAGAGUGAAAAAGUACGUGAAAUUGUUGAAAGGGAAGGGCUUGAGAUCAGACUUGGUAUUUUGUAUGUCUUGCUUUCGGGUGGGGCCUCUGCAGUUUACUGGGCCAGCAUCGGUUCGGGUGGUAGGACAAUUGCGAAGGAACGUGGCACUGCUUCGGUGGUGUGUUAUAGCCUUUGUGGAUACUGCCUGUCUGGACCGAGGACUGCGUCAUUUGACUAGGAUGCUGGCAUAAUGAUCUUAAGUCGCCC
Molecule: ribosomal RNA, 543 nt
Filed under: [Candida] sp. LCF-113
Lineage: Eukaryota; Fungi; Ascomycota; Saccharomycetes; Saccharomycetales
Description: eukaryotic LSU rRNA
Rfam family: Eukaryotic large subunit ribosomal RNA
Source: RNAcentral